UACGAAGGGUGCAAGCGUUGUUCGGAUUUAUUGGGCGUAAAGGGCGCGUAGGCGGAUGGUUAAGUCGGGUGUGAAAUCUCAGGGCCUAACCCUGAAACUGCGCCUGAAACUGGCCAUCUAGAAUGUCGGAGGGGGAAGGGGAAUUUCGCAUGUAGGGGUAAAAUCCGUAGAGAUGCGAAGGAACACCGGAGGCGAAGGCGCCUUCCUGGACGAAUAUUGACGCUGAGGCGCGAAAGCGUGGGGAGCAAACAGGAUUAGAUACCCUGGUAGUCCACGCCAUAAACGAUGAGCACUAGAUAUUGCGGGAGAUUGACCCCCGCAGAAUCGCAGCCAACGCAUUAAGUGCUCCGCCUGGGGAGUACGGUCGCAAGAUUAAA
RNAcentral lists this ribosomal RNA (377 nucleotides) under uncultured bacterium. Its description in RNAcentral is "bacterial SSU rRNA". It matches the Rfam family "Bacterial small subunit ribosomal RNA", at positions 524 to 898 of the family's 1533-position model. The record is from RNAcentral.